This 2928-nucleotide ribosomal RNA is filed under the name Salmonella enterica subsp. enterica serovar Enteritidis str. EC20121765. RNAcentral's name for it is "bacterial LSU rRNA". It matches the Rfam family "Bacterial large subunit ribosomal RNA". The record is from RNAcentral. Lineage: Bacteria; Pseudomonadati; Pseudomonadota; Gammaproteobacteria; Enterobacterales; Enterobacteriaceae.
GGGUUGUGAGGUUAAGCGACUAAGCGUACACGGUGGAUGCCCUGGCAGUCAGAGGCGAUGAAGGGCGUGCUAAUCUGCGAUAAGCGCCGGUAAGGUGAUAUGAACCGUUAUAACCGGCGAUACCCGAAUGGGGAAACCCAGUGUGAUUCGUCACACUAUCAUUAACUGAAUCCAUAGGUUAAUGAGGCGAACCGGGGGAACUGAAACAUCUAAGUACCCCGAGGAAAAGAAAUCAACCGAGAUUCCCCCAGUAGCGGCGAGCGAACGGGGAGGAGCCCAGAGCCUGAAUCAGCAUGUGUGUUAGUGGAAGCGUCUGGAAAGGCGCGCGAUACAGGGUGACAGCCCCGUACACAAAAGCGCAUGUGCUGUGAGCUCGAUGAGUAGGGCGGGACACGUGGUAUCCUGUCUGAAUAUGGGGGGACCAUCCUCCAAGGCUAAAUACUCCUGACUGACCGAUAGUGAACCAGUACCGUGAGGGAAAGGCGAAAAGAACCCCGGCGAGGGGAGUGAAAAAGAACCUGAAACCGUGUACGUACAAGCAGUGGGAGCACAGGUUUACCUGUGUGACUGCGUACCUUUUGUAUAAUGGGUCAGCGACUUAUAUUCUGUAGCAAGGUUAACCGAAUAGGGGAGCCGGAGGGAAACCGAGUCUUAAUUGGGCGUUAAGUUGCAGGGUAUAGACCCGAAACCCGGUGAUCUAGCCAUGGGCAGGUUGAAGGUUGGGUAACACUAACUGGAGGACCGAACCGACUAAUGUUGAAAAAUUAGCGGAUGACCUGUGGCUGGGGGUGAAAGGCCAAUCAAACCGGGAGAUAGCUGGUUCUCCCCGAAAGCUAUUUAGGUAGCGCCUCGUGAAUUCAUCUCCGGGGGUAGAGCACUGUUUCGGCUAGGGGGCCAUCCCGGCUUACCAACCCGAUGCAAACUGCGAAUACCGGAGAAUGUUAUCACGGGAGACACACGGCGGGUGCUAACGUCCGUCGUGAAGAGGGAAACAACCCAGACCGCCAGCUAAGGUCCCAAAGUCAUGGUUAAGUGGGAAACGAUGUGGGAAGGCCCAGACAGCCAGGAUGUUGGCUUAGAAGCAGCCAUCAUUUAAAGAAAGCGUAAUAGCUCACUGGUCGAGUCGGCCUGCGCGGAAGAUGUAACGGGGCUAAACCAUGCACCGAAGCUGCGGCAGCGACACUGUGUGUUGUUGGGUAGGGGAGCGUUCUGUAAGCCUGUGAAGGUGUGUCGUGAGGCAUGCUGGAGGUAUCAGAAGUGCGAAUGCUGACAUAAGUAACGAUAAAGCGGGUGAAAAGCCCGCUCGCCGGAAGACCAAGGGUUCCUGUCCAACGUUAAUCGGGGCAGGGUGAGUCGACCCCUAAGGCGAGGCCGAAAGGCGUAGUCGAUGGGAAACGGGUUAAUAUUCCCGUACUUGGUGUUACUGCGAAGGGGGGACGGAGAAGGCUAUGUUGGCCGGGCGACGGUUGUCCCGGUUUAAGCGUGUAGGUGUGUGUUCCAGGUAAAUCCGGUUCACUUUAACACUGAGGCGUGACGACGAGGCACUACGGUGCUGAAGCAACAAAUGCCCUGCUUCCAGGAAAAGCCUCUAAGCAUCAGGUAACAUCAAAUCGUACCCCAAACCGACACAGGUGGUCAGGUAGAGAAUACCAAGGCGCUUGAGAGAACUCGGGUGAAGGAACUAGGCAAAAUGGUGCCGUAACUUCGGGAGAAGGCACGCUGACACGUAGGUGAAGUGAUUUACUCAUGGAGCUGAAGUCAGUCGAAGAUACCAGCUGGCUGCAACUGUUUAUUAAAAACACAGCACUGUGCAAACACGAAAGUGGACGUAUACGGUGUGACGCCUGCCCGGUGCCGGAAGGUUAAUUGAUGGGGUCAGCGCAAGCGAAGCUCCUGAUCGAAGCCCCGGUAAACGGCGGCCGUAACUAUAACGGUCCUAAGGUAGCGAAAUUCCUUGUCGGGUAAGUUCCGACCUGCACGAAUGGCGUAAUGAUGGCCAGGCUGUCUCCACCCGAGACUCAGUGAAAUUGAACUCGCUGUGAAGAUGCAGUGUACCCGCGGCAAGACGGAAAGACCCCGUGAACCUUUACUAUAGCUUGACACUGAACAUUGAGCCUUGAUGUGUAGGAUAGGUGGGAGGCUUUGAAGUGUGGACGCCAGUCUGCAUGGAGCCGACCUUGAAAUACCACCCUUUAAUGUUUGAUGUUCUAACGUGGACCCGUUACCCGGGUUGCGGACAGUGUCUGGUGGGUAGUUUGACUGGGGCGGUCUCCUCCUAAAGAGUAACGGAGGAGCACGAAGGUUGGCUAAUCCUGGUCGGACAUCAGGAGGUUAGUGCAAUGGCAUAAGCCAGCUUGACUGCGAGCGUGACGGCGCGAGCAGGUGCGAAAGCAGGUCAUAGUGAUCCGGUGGUUCUGAAUGGAAGGGCCAUCGCUCAACGGAUAAAAGGUACUCCGGGGAUAACAGGCUGAUACCGCCCAAGAGUUCAUAUCGACGGCGGUGUUUGGCACCUCGAUGUCGGCUCAUCACAUCCUGGGGCUGAAGUAGGUCCCAAGGGUAUGGCUGUUCGCCAUUUAAAGUGGUACGCGAGCUGGGUUUAGAACGUCGUGAGACAGUUCGGUCCCUAUCUGCCGUGGGCGCUGGAGAACUGAGGGGGGCUGCUCCUAGUACGAGAGGACCGGAGUGGACGCAUCACUGGUGUUCGGGUUGUCAUGCCAAUGGCACUGCCCGGUAGCUAAAUGCGGAAGAGAUAAGUGCUGAAAGCAUCUAAGCACGAAACUUGCCCCGAGAUGAGUUCUCCCUGAGACUUAGAGUCUCCUGAAGGAACGUUGAAGACGACGACGUUGAUAGGUCGGGUGUGUAAGCGCAGCGAUGCGUUGAGCUAACCGGUACUAAUGAACCGUGAGGCUUAACCUUACAACGCCGAAG